Drosophila erecta is the source of this 609-nucleotide long non-coding RNA. RefSeq lists it as uncharacterized. NCBI's taxonomy places the organism in Eukaryota, Metazoa, Arthropoda, Insecta, Diptera, Drosophilidae. The record is from RefSeq and is a predicted model, not a curated record. The transcript is spliced from 2 exons.
ACAGAUGCCGACCGACUGCCAACGAUGAGGCCUGGUCCAAAGACGUCGGAUGGGCGGACGAGCAGGCGGACAGAUGUACAGACAGCAGCCAGGACGCUCGUGCUCAGACAGCUUUUGAUGCGUUUCGGCGAGCGGAGCUUUUCACCCCCAUUACUCAUCUGCCCCAUCGCAGCUUUUCCUCUCUCGAUUUUCACGUUUUUCCGAAGAGCAACAGUAACGCACAGUCGCUGGGCAGACAGGGCGCAUACGCAACAUUCGAGACGAACCAACACUCAGACCGAGUCGUCUCCCUCGCACUCACGCAUCUCGUAACAAAGGUGCUACAAUUGCGACCUCAGGGCUUCUUUCGGCGCUGUUUUGCCUUAUAAGUUUUCUUCGGUUAUCUUGCGAUAACAAAUUCAAAAAAAUAAACACAGGAAAACGCUAAAUUCUGGGAGCGGAUUGGCCAGAAGAUGGAGUUGGACAUUUGAUAUGCGAUUGGGUACUCCGCGCAGCAACGGCUAUAAAGUAGUGGAAUUUUUUGACAUAAUCGGAUGGCGAAUUAUCGAAUUUGUUAAUGCUCCAAUUCUGAUAAGCAAUUAAAAGGUUUAAGAUUUAUAAAGUAAGGUA